RNAcentral lists this ribosomal RNA (724 nucleotides) under uncultured bacterium. RNAcentral's name for it is "bacterial SSU rRNA". It matches the Rfam family "Bacterial small subunit ribosomal RNA", at positions 39 to 744 of the family's 1533-position model. The record is from RNAcentral.
GAACGCGUCUCCGUUAAUGAUUUUAGGUGCUUGCACUUGAGAGAUUUAACAUUGAGACGAGUGGCGAACUGGUGAGUAACACGUGGGUAACCUGCCCUUGAAGUAGGGGAUAACACUUGGAAACAGGUGCUAAUACCGUAUAACAACCAAAACCACCUGGUUUUGGUUUAAAAGACGGCUUCGGCUGUCACUUUAGGAUGGACCCGCGGCGUAUUAGCUUGUUGGUAAGGUAACGGCCUACCAAGGCGAUGAUACGUAGCCGACCUGAGAGGGUAAUCGGCCACAUUGGGACUGAGACACGGCCCAAACUCCUACGGGAGGCAGCAGUAGGGAAUCUUCCACAAUGGACGAAAGUCUGAUGGAGCAACGCCACGUGAGUGAUGAAGGGUUUCGGCUCGUAAAACUCUGUUGUUGGAGAAGAACAGGUGUCAGAGUAACUGUUGACAUCUUGACGGUAUCCAACCAGAAAGCCACGGCUAACUACGUGCCAGCAGCCGCGGUAAUACGUAGGUGGCAAGCGUUGUCCGGAUUUAUUGGGCGUAAAGCGAGCGCAGGCGGUUUUUUAGGUCUGAUGUGAAAGCCUUCGGCUUAACCGGAGAAGUGCAUCGGAAACCGGGAGACUUGAGUGCAGAAGAGGACAGUGGAACUCCAUGUGUAGCGGUGAAAUGCGUAGAUAUAUGGAAGAACACCAGUGGCGAAGGCGGCUGUCUGGUCUGUAACUGAC